AGAGUUUGAUUCUGGCUCAGGAUGAACGCUGGCGGCGUGCUUAACACAUGCAAGUCGAACGGACCUGUACUGAAACCUAGUGAUUUACAGGUUAGUGGCGGACGGGUGAGUAACGCGUGGAAAACCUGCCGUAUACUGGGGGAUAACACUUAGAAAUAGGUGCUAAUACCGCAUAAGCGCACAGACCCGCAUGGGACAGUGUGGAAAACAAAAAGCUAAAGCUUUUUGUGGUAUACGAUGGUUCCGCGUCUGAUUAGCUUGUUGGCGGGGUAACGGCCCACCAAGGCGACGAUCAGUAGCCGGCCUGAGAGGGUGAACGGCCACAUUGGGACUGAGACACGGCCCAGACUCCUACGGGAGGCAGCAGUGGGGAAUAUUGCACAAUGGGGGAAACCCUGAUGCAGCGACGCCGUGUGAGUGAA
Molecule: ribosomal RNA, 422 nt
Filed under: uncultured bacterium
Lineage: Bacteria
Description: bacterial SSU rRNA
Rfam family: Bacterial small subunit ribosomal RNA
Source: RNAcentral